GACGAACGCUGGCGGCGUGCCUAAUACAUGCAAGUAGAACGCACAGUUUAUACCGUAGCUUGCUACACCAUAAACUGUGAGUUGCGAACGGGUGAGUAACGCGUAGGUAACCUGCCUGGUAGCGGGGGAUAACUAUUGGAAACGAUAGCUAAUACCGCAUAAUAUUGAUUAUUGCAUGAUAAUUGAUUGAAAGAUGCUAUUGCAUCACUACCAGAUGGACCUGCGUUGUAUUAGCUAGUAGGUGAGGUAACGGCUCACCUAGGCGACGAUACAUAGCCGACCUGAGAGGGUGAUCGGCCACACUGGGACUGAGACACGGCCCAGACUCCUACGGGAGGCAGCAGUAGGGAAUCUUCGGCAAUGGACGAAAGUCUGACCGAGCAACGCCGCGUGAGUGAAGAAGGUUUUCGGAUCGUAAAGCUCUGUUGUAAGAGAAGAACGGGUGUGAGAGUGGAAAGUUCUCACUGUGACGGUAUCUUACCAGAAAGGGACGGCUAACUACGUG
This 505-nucleotide ribosomal RNA is filed under the name uncultured bacterium. Its description in RNAcentral is "partial 16S ribosomal RNA". It matches the Rfam family "Bacterial small subunit ribosomal RNA", at positions 28 to 507 of the family's 1533-position model. The record is from RNAcentral.